GGCCAAGCCAGCCAUGUGGUGCUGUGCCCCUGGGACGAAUGCCAUCAGCUGGGAUGCAGAACAGACCAUUUCCUGGAAAUAUGAGCAGCAUGACCCCCAGUUCUCCUGGCAUGUCUCAGCAGGGAGGGCCAGGAAUGGGGCCGCCAAUGCCAACUGUGAACCGUAAGGCACAGGAGGCAGCCGCAGCAGUGAUGCAGGCUGCUGCGAACUCAGCACAAAGCAGGUACGCCACCCAGGAGCACGCCCCGGGCAGGCAAGGCAGUUUCCCCGGCAUGAACCAGAGUGGACUUAUGGCUUCCAGCUCUCCCUACAGCCAGCCCAUGAACAACAGCUCUAGCCUGAUGAACACGCAGGCGCCGCCCUACAGCAUGGCACCCGCCAUGGUGAACAGCUCGGCAGGUAACCUUGGCAGCUCUGUGCUCCUGAGCCCCUCUCUCUCCCCUCUCCUCGUCUUAGGCUCCACCAGUGAAUCUGCCUAAAUGGCCCGAGAAGGUGGAUCAGUUGGCGAAAGUGGGAAUCAUAUUACUUUUCUGCUUCUCAGAAACUUGCUCCAUCUAUUUAAGACUUGAGAAUUACAUUAUAUUUUAUGUAAAUUAUUUUUAUUCAGUCUGUGUUUGUAUAACAAGUGGACAUAUUUCAAGUAUUAUUGGAGAUUGUUAAAUAUACACACUAAGUUCUCUUUCUCUUUGGGAAUUAUUAGUAUUGGAAGAUCCUCAAAUUCUCUCCAUUUGGUAGUGGUGGAGACAAACAUUUCAAAUUCACAUUUCAGGGGAAAUCGCUGGAAGGGCAGAGCAAGGGGGGUUUGAAGUACUUUUUACAUUUAGGGAAACACCUCUAAAUAUAUGCUCGGAAGUAGCUGCUUCAUAAAUGCUCUGUGCAGAUUGUCUCUAUUGGGAAACUGUUUUAAAUGUUUUAUGAUGUUUAGUUAUUUUAACCCAUUUUAUAAUCUCCACAGUAGCGUUCUUAAAAGUCAUGCCUGAUGACUGCAGUGGAUGAGUAGCCAGUGUGUGCAAAAUACCGAGAGUGUCUAAAAUUGUGCGUGUCUCCCAUGAUCUUAGACUCUUCAAGACCUUUGAACCCCCUCCUCAGGUUCCGUAACUACCUAAAGACAAUGAGUGCCACUUUUUACAUAAAGUGAUGUGUAUUUCCAGCGACCUGUUACCCUCUGUCACAUGUUAGGAUGGAUCUCACGGGAGCAUUCCCUCCUUCAGAGACUGCAGGGCGUGGCUUAGCCAGUGUGUAUCCUGUGACGCCCCGUGAUGCAUUAGGAAUGCAUGGGACAGCCAGAGCCUUGGUUCUUUCUGAUGACAUUUUUUCAUUUCUUCUGCCUUUCACCUCCUUUCUGGCCUCUCUGUCUUUGAAAGGCCUCCCCAGAAGUUCAUGUUUCUCUGUCAGGCGGAACAGCCAGUAAGAGGCUGGGCUCGCCCCCUGUCUGAGCUUCUGCGUCGUUGAUUUCUAGGACCUAAUUGAAGGGUGACAUUCCAUGAUGACUUCUCUUGAAA
Molecule: small RNA, 1502 nt
Filed under: Pongo abelii (Sumatran orangutan)
Lineage: Eukaryota; Metazoa; Chordata; Mammalia; Primates; Hominidae
Description: retained intron
Source: RNAcentral